UAAAAAAUAAAAAAAUGCCUCAAACUAUCCCUCAUUACUUUUCUCUCAAGAAAAAUUACAAAAAAAGAAAAACAACCGACUACAUGCAAAUACCCCCAUAAAAUAAAAAUAAAAAAAAUGCCUAAAACUAUCCUCCAUUACUUUUUUUUCCUCUAUCCCACCAAAAUAAGGGCUCCGAGUGCAAAACAAGGCUCCCGUACUAAGUACGGUUUGGCCAGCACUUUAAUUAAUG
This 232-nucleotide long non-coding RNA is filed under the name Amborella trichopoda. RNAcentral describes it as "long non-coding RNA (ATRI_LNC003333)". Lineage: Eukaryota; Viridiplantae; Streptophyta; Magnoliopsida; Amborellales; Amborellaceae. The record is from RNAcentral.